CAAAAAANANGGCUUUUUUGGGUGUAAUAUAAAGUUUGACCUGCCCACUGAAAAAUUUUUUUUUUGAAGGGCCGCGGUAUUUUGACCGUGCGAAGGUAGCAUAAUCAUUAGUCUUUUAAUUGAAGGCUUGUAUGAAUGGUUUGACGAGGAAUUGACUGUCUUUGAAUAAUUAAUAGAAUUUAACUUUUAAGUUAAAAGGCUUAAAUGUAGAUGAAGGACGAGAAGACCCUAUAGAGCUUUAUAUUAAUGAAUAUUUUUUUAAUAAUGUGGUUUAUGUUAUUUUUAAUAUUUAUAGUAUUUUGUUGGGGUGACAUUAAGAUAAAUUUAACUCUUAUAGUAUAAGACAUUAAUAUAUGAAUAAUUGAUCCAUUAUUAGUGAUUAUAAGAUUAAGUUACCUUAGGGAUAACAGCGUAAUUUUUUUUGAGAGUUCUUAUCAAUAAAAAAGAUUGCGACCUCGAUGUUGGAUUAAGGAAUAUAAUUAGGUGCAGUUGUUUAAAGUAUAGUCUGUYCGACCUUUAAAUCCUUACCAUGAAUCUGAAUUCAAC
Molecule: ribosomal RNA, 546 nt
Filed under: Coptaspis sp. MCJ-2002
Lineage: Eukaryota; Metazoa; Arthropoda; Insecta; Orthoptera; Tettigoniidae
Description: partial 16S ribosomal RNA
Rfam family: Bacterial large subunit ribosomal RNA
Source: RNAcentral